RNAcentral lists this ribosomal RNA (253 nucleotides) under uncultured bacterium. RNAcentral describes it as "partial 16S ribosomal RNA". It matches the Rfam family "Bacterial small subunit ribosomal RNA", at positions 524 to 776 of the family's 1533-position model. The record is from RNAcentral.
GACGAGGGGUCCUAGCGUUGUUCGGAAUUAUUGGGCGUAAAGCGUGUGUAGGCGGCCUAGCAAGUCAGUUGUGAAAGCCCCGGGCUCAACCCGGGAAGUGCUUCUGAUACUGCUUGGCUUGAGUACUGGAGAGGAUAGUGGAAUUCCAGGUGUAGUGGUGAAAUGCGCAGAUAUCAGGGAGAACACCUAUGGCGAAGGCAGCUCUCUGGGACGGUACUGACGCUGAGACGCGAAAGCGUGGGGAGCGAACAGG